Molecule: ribosomal RNA, 460 nt
Filed under: uncultured bacterium
Lineage: Bacteria
Description: partial 16S ribosomal RNA
Rfam family: Bacterial small subunit ribosomal RNA
Source: RNAcentral
CCUACGGGGGGCAGCAGUGAGGAAUAUUGGUCAAUGGCCGCAAGCCUGAACCAGCCAAGUCGCGUGAGGGAUGACUGCCCUACGGAUUGUAAACCUCUUUUGUCAGGGAGUAAAGUGCGCCACGUGUGGCGCUUUGUGUGUACUUUAUGAAAAAGCAUCGGCUAACUCCGUGCCAGCAGCCGCGGUAAUACGGAGGAUCCGAGCGUUAUCCGGAUUUAUUGGGUUUAAAGGGUGCGUAGGGGGGAUGUUAAGUCAGCAGGUAAAUUUUGGGGCUCAACCCCAGAAGUGCAGUUGAUACUGGCGUUCGUGAGUGCAGGAGAGGUAUGCGGAAUGCGUGGUGUAGCGGUGAAAUGCAUAGAUAUCACGAAGAACUCCGAUUGCGAAGGCAGCAUACUGGACUGCAACUGACGUUGAUGCACGAAAGCGUGGGUAUCAAACAGGAUUAGAUACCCUGGUAGUC